This 497-nucleotide ribosomal RNA is filed under the name uncultured bacterium. Its description in RNAcentral is "partial 16S ribosomal RNA". It matches the Rfam family "Bacterial small subunit ribosomal RNA", at positions 28 to 507 of the family's 1533-position model. The record is from RNAcentral.
GAUGAACGCUGGCGGCGUGCCUAAUACAUGCAAGUCGAGCGAACGGACGAGAAGCUUGCUUCUCUGAUGUUAGCGGCGGACGGGUGAGUAACACGUGGAUAACCUACCUAUAAGACUGGGAUAACUUCGGGAAACCGUAGCUAAUACCGGAUAAUAUUUUGAACCGCAUGGUUCAAAAGUGAAAGACGGUCUUGCUGUCACUUAUAGAUGGAUCCGCGCUGCAUUAGCUAGUUGGUAAGGUAACGGCUUACCAAGGCAACGAUGCAUAGCCGACCUGAGAGGGUGAUCGGCCACACUGGAACUGAGACACGGUCCAGACUCCUACGGGAGGCAGCAGUAGGGAAUCUUCCGCAAAGGGCGAAAGCCUGACGGAGCAACGCCACGUGAGUGAUGAAGGUCUUCGGAUCGUAAAACUCUGUUAUUAGGGAAGAACAUAUGUGUAAGUAACUGUGCACAUCUUGACGGUACCUAAUCAGAAAGCCACGGCUAACUACGUG